Molecule: ribosomal RNA, 167 nt
Filed under: uncultured rumen bacterium
Lineage: Bacteria
Description: partial 16S ribosomal RNA
Rfam family: Bacterial small subunit ribosomal RNA
Source: RNAcentral
UACGGGAGGCAGCAGUGGGGAAUAUUGCACAAUGGGGGAAACCCUGAUGCAGCGACGCCGCGUGAGUGAUGAAGUAUUUCGGUACGUAAAGCUCUAUCAGCAGGAAAGAAAAUGACGGUACCUGACUAAGAAGCCCCGGCUAACUACGUGCCAGCAGCCGCGGUAAU